UCAAACAUCAGCUCAGUGGCGGAGCCAGGAAUUCAAUCUACGUCUCUUGACUCUCAGUUCAGUACCCAAAGAACUGGAGAUUAUAUGGAAGCAUCUGAAUAAACAAGAAUCCUAGCUUCUAGAAAAAAUCCAAUGUUCUCAAUGACAACUCUUACAUUGAUGAUCAUUCUAAUGGGGAAAACAAUUCAGCAUUCAUUCAGACUAUAAUAGAAUUCUUCCCAUCUUAUGAAUACAUGAUGCUGCACUCUGGGUUGGCAAAAAAGAUAGCUGUUUAUAUCCAAUAUGGCAUACUGCAGCAGAGAAAGUUAUGAUGAGUCUCAUUCAUUGGGUACAUGGCUUCACUUCUGGACUCAAA
Molecule: long non-coding RNA, 355 nt
Organism: Terrapene triunguis (Three-toed box turtle)
Lineage: Eukaryota; Metazoa; Chordata; Testudines; Emydidae
Exons: 3
Source: RefSeq, a predicted model, not a curated record